This is a small nuclear RNA of Mesocricetus auratus (golden hamster), 121 nucleotides long. The record is from Ensembl. NCBI's taxonomy places the organism in Eukaryota, Metazoa, Chordata, Mammalia, Rodentia, Cricetidae.
GUAUUUUAUGAAAUAUAGUUAGCACUCUCCUUGACAAAGAUGGAAGAGGUCUGGGGCCUAACAAUACACAUACAGUUAAGGCAUUCCCAUCUACUUUGUAUCAUCUCAACAACAUGUUUUA